UAUUGCAAAAUGGGCGAAAGCCCGAUGCAGCAACGCCGCGUGGGCGAUGAAGGCCUUCGGGUCGUAAAGCCCUUUUUGAGGGGAUGAGGAAGGACAGUACCCUCAGAAUAAGCCUCGGCUAACUACGUGCCAGCAGCCGCGGUAAAACGUAGGAGGCGAGCGUUAUCCGGAUUUACUGGGCGUAAAGCGCGUGCAGGCGGAUUGGAGAGUUGGAUGUGAAAGCUCCCGGCUUAACUGGGAGAGGUCGUUCAAUACUUCCAGUCUUGAGUGCAGUAGUGGGAAGUGGAAUUCCGGGUGUAGUGGUGAAAUGCGUAGAUAUCCGGAGGAACACCAGUGGCGAAAGCGGCUUCCUGGACUGUAACUGACGCUCAGACGCGAAAGCUAGGGUAGCAAAC
RNAcentral lists this ribosomal RNA (395 nucleotides) under uncultured bacterium. Its description in RNAcentral is "bacterial SSU rRNA". It matches the Rfam family "Bacterial small subunit ribosomal RNA", at positions 362 to 773 of the family's 1533-position model. The record is from RNAcentral.